Sander lucioperca (pikeperch) is the source of this 153-nucleotide long non-coding RNA. RefSeq lists it as uncharacterized. The record is from RefSeq and is a predicted model, not a curated record. The transcript has 3 exons. Lineage: Eukaryota; Metazoa; Chordata; Actinopteri; Perciformes; Percidae.
AGUGUUACCAAGCAGCGACUUCCAGGUCUGAAAAGUAGAAGCCAAUGCUGAAGAGCCUUAAAGCUGCAUUCUAUCUCAUUUCCAGCAGGGGGCGACUCCAUUGGUUCCAAAAAAUAGUCUGUUUCUAUGAGAAAAUGACCUUACGUCUCACUU